Molecule: ribosomal RNA, 444 nt
Filed under: uncultured bacterium
Lineage: Bacteria
Description: partial 16S ribosomal RNA
Rfam family: Bacterial small subunit ribosomal RNA
Source: RNAcentral
GUAGGGAAUAUUGGGCAAUGGUCGGAAGACUGACCCAGCCAUGCCGCGUGCAGGAAGACGGCCCUCUGGGUUGUAAACUGCUUUUAUCUGGGAAGAAAAAGGCCAUGCGUGGCAAAUUGCCGGUACCAGAUGAAUAAGCACCGGCUAACUCCGUGCCAGCAGCCGCGGUAAUACGGAGGGUGCGAGCGUUGUCCGGAUUUAUUGGGUUUAAAGGGUGCGUAGGCGGCUGAUUAAGUCAGCGGUGAAAGACUUCGGCUUAACCGGAGCAGUGCCGUUGAUACUGGUUGGCUUGAGUGUCGGAGGGGUACAUGGAAUUGAUGGUGUAGCGGUGAAAUGCAUAGAUACCAUCAGGAACACCGAUAGCGAAGGCAUUGUACUGGCCAACAACUGACGCUGAUGCACGAAAGUGUGGGGAUCGAACAGGAUUAGAAACCCUGGUAGUCC